GAUGAAGAACGCAGCGAAAUGCGAUAAGUAGUGUGAAUUGCAGAAUUCAGUGAAUCAUCGAAUCUUUGAACGCACAUUGCGCCCUUUGGUAUUCCUUAGGGCAUGCCUGUUCGAGCGUCAUUUACAAAUUCAAGCUCAGCUUGGUGUUGGGUGUCUGUCCCCGCCUCACCGCGGGGACUCGCCUCAAAAUCAUUGGCGGCCGGUACGUUGGCUUCGAGCGCAGCAGAAACGCGAACUCGAGGCCCGGCGGAUCGGCGACCAGAAGUCACUUCUUCACAGUUUGACCUCGGAUCAGGUAGGGAUACCCGCUGAACUUAAGCAUAUCAAUAAGCGGAGGA
This 338-nucleotide unclassified non-coding RNA is filed under the name soil metagenome. RNAcentral describes it as "partial contains 5.8S ribosomal RNA, internal transcribed spacer 2, and large subunit ribosomal RNA". The stretch from base 1 to 120 matches the Rfam family "5.8S ribosomal RNA", at positions 35 to 154 of the family's 154-position model. The record is from RNAcentral.